RNAcentral lists this ribosomal RNA (207 nucleotides) under uncultured bacterium. Its description in RNAcentral is "partial 16S ribosomal RNA". It matches the Rfam family "Bacterial small subunit ribosomal RNA", at positions 568 to 774 of the family's 1533-position model. The record is from RNAcentral.
CGCGUAGGCGGCCUGUCAAGUCAGAUGUGAAAUCCCCGGGCUUAACCCGGGAACUGCAUUUGAAACUGGCGGGCUUGAGGGCAGGAGAGGAAAGCGGAACUCCCAGUGUAGCGGUGAAAUGCGUAGAUAUUGGGAGGAACACCAGUGGCGAAGGCGGCUUUCUGGACUGUCACUGACGCUGAGGCGCGAAAGCCAGGGGAGCGAACG